GCGGAGGUGGCAGAACCCGGUUAAUGCGCGCGCCUGCAAAGCGUGUUUUUGAGAGUUCAAAUCUCUCCCUCCGCU
This 75-nucleotide transfer RNA is filed under the name archaeon. Its description in RNAcentral is "tRNA-Cys". It matches the Rfam family "tRNA". From Rfam's summary of the family: Transfer RNA (tRNA) molecules are approximately 80 nucleotides in length. Their secondary structure includes four short double-helical elements and three loops (D, anti-codon, and T loops). The record is from RNAcentral. RNAcentral also lists the same sequence under 2 other names.